Oryza nivara is the source of this 193-nucleotide non-coding RNA. Lineage: Eukaryota; Viridiplantae; Streptophyta; Magnoliopsida; Poales; Poaceae. The record is from Rfam.
AAAAAGACAAACACUGGAUUUCCGUGUCAAACGUUUGACUGUCCGUUUUAUAUGAUUUUUUUUAUAAUUAGUAUUUUCAUUGUUAUUAGAUGAUAAAACAUGAUUAAUACUUUAUGCAUGACUUGUCUUUUAAUUUUUUUUAAAUAAGACGAACGGUCAAACGUUGGACACGGAAACCAGGGUUUGUCUUUUU